UGAGGAAUUUUCCGCAAUGGGCGCAAGCCUGACGGAGCGACGCCGCGUGAGGGAUGAAGGCUUUCGGGUUGUAAACCUCUUUUGUUUGGGAAAAAGGUCUUCGUGCUCAUACCACGGAGAUUUGAUGGUACUAAGCGAAUAAGCCCCGGCUAACUACGUGCCAGCAGCCGCGGUAAUACGUAGGGGGCGAGCGUUGUCCGGAAUUACUGGGCGUAAAGGGCGUGUAGGCUGUUGGGUAAGUCUGGUGUGAAAUGCUACGGCUCAACCGUGGCACUGCGCUGGAAACUGCCUGACUGGAGUGCAGGAGGGGUCACUGGAAUCCCCGGUGUAACGGUGAAAUGUGUAGAUAUCGGGGGGAACACCUGUGGCGAAGGCGGGUGACUGGCCUGCAACUGACGCU
Molecule: ribosomal RNA, 400 nt
Filed under: uncultured bacterium
Lineage: Bacteria
Description: bacterial SSU rRNA
Rfam family: Bacterial small subunit ribosomal RNA
Source: RNAcentral